CCUACGGGUGGCAGCAGUGAGGAAUAUUGGUCAAUGGACGAGAGUCUGAACCAGCCAAGUAGCGUGAAUGAUGACUGCCCUAUGGGUUGUAAACUUCUUUUAUAUGGGAAUAAAACGUUCCACGUGUGGGAUUUUGUAUGUACCAUAUGAUUCAGGCUCGGCUAACUCCGUGCCAGCAGCCGCGGUAAUACGGAGGAUCCGCGCGUUAUCCGGAUUUAUUGGGUUUAAAGGGAGCGUAGGUGGAUUGUUAAGUAAGUUGUGAAAGUUUGCGGCUCAACCGUAAAAUUGCAGUUGAAACUGGCAUACUGGAGGACAGGAGAGGUGGGCGGAAUUCGUGGUGUAGCGGUGAAAUGCUUAGAUAUUACGAAGAACGCCGAUUGCGAAGGCAGUUCACUGGACUGCAACUGACACUGAGGCUCGAAAGUGUGGGGAUCAAACAGGAUUAGAUACCCGAGUAGUC
Molecule: ribosomal RNA, 460 nt
Filed under: uncultured bacterium
Lineage: Bacteria
Description: partial 16S ribosomal RNA
Rfam family: Bacterial small subunit ribosomal RNA
Source: RNAcentral